CAAUUUUUCACUUAAUCGUACUUCCCUUUCCCCAAUUGCCCCCGCAAUUUCAAUUCUCACCCCCCUCUGAACAAUAAUUAUGAGUUUGCCCCUAUGCACCUCAAAUAACAAAGUAAAAUACAAAAGACACAAAUCACGGCAAUAGAAUCCACACACCAUUUCCAAUCUAAGAUUGGUUGUAAAGAUUUAAUAGUAGUCCAGAACAAAGUGUGAGUCAUCUAGUGGAAACACGAGACCUUUCUUGAUGAGCAGCUAUUAUGAUAAGAUUGUCUGAAAGUUACGCACCAUUGGAAAAAUAGUAUGCUAAUGCCAAGAUAAGUUUGUAGAAAUAAAAGUAAAUAUACGCCUCACAUAAACUUGACAAGAAUCGUUCAAUUAUUUCUAGACACUAAUUUAUAGUUCAUUUUCACAUUAUUGGAAUCUUUAUAGGAGGGCAUUCUAAUUUUUCUGUCUGUAUAGUGUCUCCUCCUGAAACUGAAAGGCUUAAAUAGUGAUCGCUGAAGUGUAGGGAUGAUGAAAAUCUUUAAGUUUUCCAUUGAAAACUGCACAAGGAGAAAGAUGGAAUAUGACCAGUAAAAGGUAUUAUUCGGCUCCAUGCAUUACUUUUUUAUUACAUAUAAGUCAAAUGUGGUAAUAAAACAGUAAAAAAAAAACUAUCUUCUCUCCUCUUCUAUCUCAACUGGGAGUUCUGUUUGUUUCACCUAUUUUUUGUUUUUUUCUGUUUCCUCUCUCUUUACUGCUACGACUACUCAUCAACAAUACCACUCUACGUUCAUCAAUUCAAGGUGGAAACUUUCAAGUCUCCCCCCUCUUCUUACUUGUUUCUCUGUCUUUAGGGAUAUUUCAACANUCCAUUGAAAACUGCACAAGGAGAAAGAUGGAAUAUGACCAGUAAAAGGUAUUAUUCGGCUCCAUGCAUUACUUUUUUAUUACAUAUAAGUCAAAUGUGGUAAUAAAACAGUAAAAAAAACUAUCUUCUUUCCUCUUCUAUCUCAACUGGGAGUUCUGUUUGUUUCACCUAUUUUUGUUUUUUUCUGUUUCCUCUCUUUACUGCUACGACUACUCAUCAACAAUACCACUCUACGUUCAUCAAUUCAAGGUGGAAACUUUCAAGUCACCCCUCUCUUCUUACUUGUUUCUCUGUCUUUAGGGAUAUUUCAAUAAGAUUUGGAAUUCAGUUGAAUUUGAGUGAGAAUCGAUUCGAUUUUGCUGAUUGUCUGACCACUUCUUUAUCAAAUCCAGAAUAUAGUCAAUUCCAAACGAAGAAAGGCCCAUCAUCCCUUUCUUUCUUUUUCUGUUAUAUUUUUAGUUAUUUCUUGAUGGAAUUUUCUGGGUCCUCUAUAUAUACCAGGUACUGUAAUUUUGACUCUGUUUAUUUCUUUAGCUUAAAUUCGACAAGAUUGAUGGGUUAUUAGGGUUUCAGCUAGCAAAAAUUCAAGGGAUGUCAUUCUUUUUCCUUUUUCCUUUUUGAUAUUAAGUUUGGUUAAUUAGCUGAUGCAGAAGUUCUACACUUGAACAACUUUAAGCAAAAUUUGGUUUUCUCCAGCUUUCGCAAUGAAAGUGAAUUGCUUUGCUUUAAUUUAUUUAUUUUAACUAGCCCUUGAUUUUCUGUUUGGUAUUAUUAUCGCUAAUUGGGAAUGGAAGACGUACAAUUUUCAUAUAGAAGCAAGCAUGGGAGUGCGCAGUUUCACGUCUGUCUUGUGAUAUUGAUGUCACCUUUCCUUUUUUGUUCAGUCACUUAAUGUUCUUACCUUGACUGCAUUUGUAUCUAACUUUUGAAUUUUAUUUAUUUUUUUCCAUGCAGAAAGUACUUGAGAAUUUGACCAGCUAUAUAUCUUCUGAUUAUUAAAGGCACAGGUAAACAUAUUUAUCUCUAUUCAACAUUUUACACUCUGACCUCGUGAGUUGCCAACUGUUUUGUUGGUUGUCUUCAUUUAAUGAGUUUGGACUUUAUCACUUGGCUUGUGCUUGUUUUUCAAAUUUCCUUGUGAUGUUUGCCUUGUUCGUGUAUGCUUCCUUAAUGUUACUGUACAAGAUAUCGUAUCUGAAAGAGUAUUUGUGUAUAUGUGUACAUUGAGAGUACCCUUGCCCUUCUAUUUUCUUUAUUCUGGGUUUCUAUUUCGCAUGUCCAAUUUUUGAUUGUUUACUGAUUGGGCUUGCAAAUAAAGGAAAUUCAAGGAUAUGGGAUGCUUUGUAUCAACGCCGAAGGACACAGGUGGAAACAGAAAGAGACCAUCAAACAUUGGUGAGGUCUCUGUAUUUGUGCCAGGUUUAAGGAUUCCUAAGACCGUGGAUUUCUCCCAGGCAUUAGGCGAUCAUUUGUCUAAAAGUUUAGUGGAACGUCUUUCUGCACUUAGAACCAGAAUUGUAGUUAUGGCUGCACAAGAAGCUCCGACUAUUACAAGAACAAGACGGAGAACGGCUACUCAACAUGGUUAU
RNAcentral lists this long non-coding RNA (2439 nucleotides) under Olea europaea subsp. europaea. The record is from RNAcentral. Lineage: Eukaryota; Viridiplantae; Streptophyta; Magnoliopsida; Lamiales; Oleaceae.